GACGAACGCUGGCGGCGUGCUUAACACAUGCAAGUCGAACGGAAAGGCCUCUUUCGGGGGGUACUCGAGUGGCGAACGGGUGAGUAACACGUGAGUAACCUGCCCUUGACUUUGGGAUAACUUCAGGAAACUGGGGCUAAUACCGGAUAGGAGCUCCUGCUGCAUGGUGGGGGUUGGAAAGUUUCGGCGGUUGGGGAUGGACUCGCGGCUUAUCAGCUUGUUGGUGGGGUAGUGGCUUACCAAGGCUUUGACGGGUAGCCGGCCUGAGCGGGUGACCGGCCACAUUGGGACUGAGAUACGGCCCAGACUCCUACGGGAGGCAGCAGUGGGGAAUAUUGCACAAUGGGUGGGAGCCUGAUGCAGCAACGCCGUGUGCGGGAUGACGGCCUUCGGGUUGUAAACCGCUUUCGCUCAUGACGAAGCUUUGUGUGACGGUAGUGGGUAAAGAAGCACCGGCUAACUACGUG
This 467-nucleotide ribosomal RNA is filed under the name uncultured bacterium. Its description in RNAcentral is "partial 16S ribosomal RNA". It matches the Rfam family "Bacterial small subunit ribosomal RNA", at positions 28 to 507 of the family's 1533-position model. The record is from RNAcentral.